AGAUAUGACUGACAGAAUGAUGUUGUAUAAAGCAAUACAGAACUGGUAUGGCAACAGAGGCCUUGUGAGGAAAAGACAGGAGGAGGUGGUGAGGAGAAGCACAGGUCUGGGAUGGUAACAGUGGAGGCACAGGGUGGUGCUGGAGAACCCGUGAUUAUAAACAAAUGCAGACCUGGAGCUGAACGAAACUGGUUUUUAGGGGCAAUGAAGGCAACAAAGGCAUAGUAGCUAGCAUGUGUAAAGGCCACCAAGUAUAGUAAAUUUGGAUGGGAAGUGGAGGUGCAGAUUAAUGAAGAAAGACCAAGGUGUAAAAGCACGUUAGCAAAAAAAGUGUGCUAGCAAGAGAGGUCCCAGACAGCUCCUAGAAUGAGGAAGAUGCUAUCAUCACAAAAAUCACAUCCCUGCUGCUGAAGUACUCACCACAGCAUCCCUUCUGCCCCCCAUCAGAGUGAAGCCACCAACCUUAGGACCCAGGAGCACAGAGGAUGGUGAACGUAACACCAGCAAAAGGGGUAGAAACAAUUUGAACUGUGCCAUUAUUCUUUCCUCUUCUGUAAUAAUUAUACCCAUGAUAAUGAUCAGACUCCACAGAUUUCAGAAAUCGUAACCAUACAUUCUUGGUUUUAUAUCAUAUAUACACGUUUAUAUGUGCACACACACAGACCACAGAGGAUAGGAGAAAAUGUAUUCCAAGGAAAGGCAUGCAAAAAAAAGAACAUUAGAAAUACAUUCUCAGCUCAAGCAUUUGGCCCUAUGUCUCCUGGAGAUUAAGAAAUCCACCGGCACAAAAGGGCAUGAAACACAUGUUGAUAUUGACGUUCGUCAUUUAGUAGGUGGACAGACACGUCUACUGUACCAAACAGCUCUGGAAAAGAGAUUGGACACAUCCAUUCAUCAUUCCCACGAGACAGAGUUUGCUGUAGCCAACAAUCAAAUUAAUUAACUGCUGAAUCUAAUUUACCCAAAUUCUCAUUAAUUCUCCUCUGGGUUGAUUAUUAGGCCUGACAAAUUCCAUCCCCAAAGCACUUUGCUUGAAAAAAUAAUAAUUAGCAAUGGGAAGAGAGCAAAUGAAAGUUGGGACUCCACAAUAGAUGAGGAAACCAUUGCUUUGUUCUCUGAAAUAGAGCGAGCAAAGCUUCACAAGUGCUCCACUGGUUUUGUUUAAGCAUAAUUUUUUAAGAGGACACAAAACCAGGGAAUAAAAAGUACCUAGUGGAAUAGAAAGCAAUGGUGUGGUGCGGGAGAAAUGUUGCAGCUUCACUUUUUUCUCAGAAGCUAGACAUACUGAGCACUUAUUAAAACCUGUUUGCUGUUGGACUCGGUAGUCAACAAGUGAAACCAGAGGUGGUAUAAGAAGGCCACAGUCUCAGUGGAAAAAACUUGUCAGAGUUCAAUGUCAUUUAAUCCUGUCUAACUUGCCCUGCUGCUUUUGUGCUGUGUGGUGCUCAGCAGCAUUUCAGUCGGGGGUAAGCCCAACAUUUAUAGCAAGUCCUGCUUUCACUGCAGAAGCCAUCUGCUGAGGCUGUUCCAUGCUCUACUCCAAGCUCAAAAAUGGGUGGUUUGUUUGUUUUAGCUUUACAAGCUCUGGGAUUACAUUUCUCUAGGAUCUAAGUCAAAAAAUUGUGCCUCAAGAAGGAACCACAAGGGAGGGGCCAAAAGAAUUCAAAAUGGUCACAACAACCCACUUCUUGUAAUAAGAGGGCGUGAUUGAUGAGGCAACUUUCCAGUGGGGCAUAUUUCAAGGGCACAUACAACUGUCAGAUGGCUUAGAACAGUAAUUUUCAUAAAUUUUGAGAGCCAAAACUUUGUACUCACAUACAUGGUAACUGUUGUUCAUAAGAUCACUGCCCAGCUCCUAAAAUUGAAUCCUCUCAGACUGGCAGCGGAGGGUUUUCAUUAGACUGCCUGUGUCUGUUGCCUGGCCUUCUGCAGAGCUUCUGCCAGAAGCAGAAGCAAUUAGCAGUUCCUAGUGCUCAGCACAAGACAUUUUCAUCAGCUAAGCUUUGACGGAUGGAAGUCUCAUCGCAGCAGACACUGGCUGCAUUUGCUCUGUAGCUUCAUUUAUUGGGAGCAUUGACUUGCUAUGGUACUGAGUUUUGUUCAUUAGUACUUAAAUAAAUAAUCCACCUGACUGUGGACAAGAUUCUAGAGCUGUCAGGAAAAGCUGAAGAAAAUCAUUAGUUAUAGGAGAGCUGAAUUCUCCCCCCACAUUUUCAGAAACGAAAGAAGAGUGAGAGGAUCAGAAGUCAGGCUUUUCCGUGCAGAAGUUGCAGGGAUAUUUUAGGAGAGAAAUUGCAUGGUAUGGUGGAAUACAGGACUGAAGUGUUUUAAGUUCUCUUUCAAUGAAAGAAAAAAGGUCAUAAAUCCACUCAUUUUGAGAUCACAAGGGUACCAUUCAGAUCAGCUGCUUGGCUCUUUUGCACAACACAAGCCAAACUAGUUUAACCACUUCCACACUAUGUCAGCAUGGAGAGAGUCCUCCAGCUGCUCUGCUUUAGCCCUUUGUAGAUACCAGACCGAGCUGUCAGUAAGAUCAAUAACAUAGGACUAUCCUUUAAAGCAUGCUUUGGGCAUUGCACGUAAGCGUUCUGAGCUGGAGUUAAGACAAACCAUCAAGAAAUGCAACUGAACUACAGUGCUCCUCUCAUGUGAUGUUGGGUAUUCAACUGGAUUAACCCAGAAGAUGAAGAAUUUUCCUUUGGCAAACUAUGUCAGUGCUUAAUUAGCUUUGCCAAUAAAAAACUGUACUUAUUUCCCGUUAAGAAUACUUCUAGAAUAACUUUGCAAAUGUCCAGGCUGUGGGGCAGGAUUUUCCAUUUCCCCCCUUGUCUCCUUUAUGAUUUAACUUUUUAUCCCUCAUCAUACCAAGCAAAUGACAGCUCAUCACAGCUAAUGAUGAAUAAUUUGGGGUAAAAGUCUAAGAUAUUCCACCUUGAAGUGUUAAUUCAGUAACUUCAUAACAAUGCCUUAUGAUGUAGGUCAUUGCCUCAUGACUCUUAAAACAGCUCCUGAUGAGGGAAAACCCAGUGCAUCAGGGAAGACAAAAGCUAAAAAAUGCCCUUAAUAUAGAGGCAUUACAGCUUUCACAACAUAUUGACCUCAAUUACCUAGAACGUAGAAAAGAUAGUCCAAUAUCUGAUUUUAACUUCCUUAAUGCUUGUUGAAAUAACAUUAAUAAUAAAAGGCUACCUGUGAAACCAAGAUAAACUAAUUUGAGUUCUCACUUGAACUGACAGAAAACAUUCCAAAAACAUUUUUUUUUUUUUUUAACAUCUGUAUUAUCACUGGGGAGCCAGACCCACCUCGUUGGAAUCCAGUGGCAAUGUCUCAUUGACUCCACUAGGCUCAGCUCAGGACUAAUCCCAGAGGGCUUAUUACACACCAGAAGUGCACGCUUCUGUAGCUCUAUCCAGACUCACCUCAAGGCAUACCACAGAACAGGGUCACGUGGGUUUUGCCUCACAUGGAUACCAGGAGUCCCUGACCUGGCAGUCUCUGGUAGAAGCAAUGAGACACAGCGGUUUUGCCACCCCUGCAAAAGUCCAUUGAUCAAACACCCACUAAUAUCGAUUGCCAGGGGAGUUAACACAAACACUUCGUGUACAGAAACAACUUCCUUUUUGUUUUUUUUUUUUAAUCACUCGAAGUGUUGUUAUUUUUCUACAGUCCAGGGCUGCCCAGAUGACUAACUCUUCACAACCAAAUUAAAACUACAUCAUGACAUUGUUACAGCAGCUUCUGAAAUUUUAAAAGGUGAGGAAGGAAAUUCUAAAUCAAAAAACAAAACCCCCGUCCCACGAGAUGGUGAGAGGUGAUUAAAAGCAAGACAGUUACAGAUGAAUGUUGAUUGGAAUCGAAGGUGAAAAGCAGCAGCUUCUGCGUAUGAAGUGACAAGGGGCUCUCUGUCAUAGAUGAGAGGUUUCAUCAUAAAGAAGGGGAAGUCCUGAGCUCAAUUCUAAAGAGAUGCCCAAGAGAGAGAAAGAAAGAAAACACAGUCUGAAGGGAGGCUACAGAAGAACAGCAGAGCAAGUCACUGAACUUUGUUUGAUGAGAUGGAGAUCAGCACAUCGUCUUCCCUAGAUUCUGAGCAAAGACAAAAGACAAGAUUUUGAGCACUGACAGAGAAAGACAAGGUGGAAUAUUUUUGUGACGCUCCUGAAAGGACUCCACCAACAUCUUAGGGAUGGUGUGGCAUAAAUGUAUUUGUAAGUAUUCUGAGAAAAACGAGAGCUUCAUUACACGGUGAUUUAAUGAAUCCUCACCUCUCCCUAGUAAUAGUUGGGAACAAUUCAGGAGUCUCUGGAGUCCGAUUCAAAGCCCGGUGAAAUCAAUAAAAACUUUGUACUGCCUGCAGUUCCGUUUGGAUCAGU
Gallus gallus (chicken) is the source of this 4370-nucleotide long non-coding RNA. RefSeq lists it as uncharacterized. Lineage: Eukaryota; Metazoa; Chordata; Aves; Galliformes; Phasianidae. The record is from RefSeq and is a predicted model, not a curated record. The transcript is spliced from 3 exons.